UAUUUCAAUUUUCACCAGACGACUGAAAUGUAAGUCGUCCGGGAAAGUCAAACUUCUGAAAUAGUCCAGUCAAAUGCAAAACUAACAUAUGACCACUGAAAUGUAAGUCGUCUAGGUUCUUUGGAGAUUUUUUUGUAACCAAACAAAAUCAGACAACUUAACUUUCAGUCGUCUCAGAAAACAUAUUUCAAAGUCAGUUGCAAAAAUAACCUCUGCGUUGACAAGACGACUUUCAGGUAAGUUGUCUGGACGAACAGAUCUGGAAAAAAACUCGAUUUCAUACCUUAAAUUGGUGAGAUAACUUCCUUAGCACACAUAAGGCUUCUCCAAGAACACAUAAUCUUAAACGAAAGUGACCCACCCAGAAUCGUUAGCUUCUUUGACUCUAUGAACCAUAAAAAAAUGUAGAAUCAAAAUCUUGGGGUUUUUUAGCUUAAUGUGGAAAGAAAGUGAGAGAGAUGUUGUGUUUAGUUCAUAAGAAUGGAGAAAGAAGAAUGGUAAAUCAAUUUUGGGAGCAUUAAGAGCUUCAAAUUGGUUGUUCAUGCUGGUUAGGAUAUUGAUGACAAUGACAAUCUUGAAGAUGAUGAGGGUGAGAGAGUAAAAAUAUCAUUUUCGAAAAAAAAAAAAAAAAAAAAUUUAUGGCAUUUUCAUGAAUUAUAUGAACUUGUGGGAUGAAUAAAGCAUAACUAAUUUCCAAAAAAAAAAGAGGUUAAUUUUGUGUUUGACUGUAUGUAAAUUUUGAAAAAAACCCUUUAUUGAUUGGGGAAAGUAAUGCUAAUACAUUUAAGCAAAAACUUUAUCCGCCAUUAAAUUGCGUAGCUAGCAUUAACUCUGCGAAUAUUGCUUGAAAUUUUAUGGAAUAAGCGAUAAUCAUGGUUUGAUCUGAUUAUUUAAUUUUCUUUUAUUUGGAAAGUCAAAUAGUGAAUCUUCUAAAAAUGGAAAUUAUGAUUGAAUCGUUGAAAAAUUUAAAGUCAAAGUUCUUGUUUUGAAAACAUAAUUACAAAUUAUUAAUAACAAAAAUGGAAGAUUUAUUUAUAUAUAACUAUAUAUAUAUGUAAUUAAGACCAUAAACUCUGUUCAUAAGAAGCUUAAAGUUAUAUUUUCAAAACGAAAGGAAAUCAAGACAAAAAGUUGCUACAACCUAUAAUGACGACCAAGAAAAUGUCAUCCCUUUUAUUAUUUUCGCUGAUGGUCUUUAUCCUCGUAUCUCUACCUAUAAUUUCAGGGGAUGAAUGUACACCGAAGGGGCCAUGUGAAGACACCAAGAAAUGCAAUAUCUAUUGUUUAUUGCUGGGUUUCAAAUAUGGGGGAUUUUGUGAUACAUAUGGGACUACGUUUUGUUGUUGCAUAACAUCUAAAACUCCUCCUAUAUCCAGUCUUCCUGAACACUAAUUAUUUUAAUCAAUAUGUACCCAAAAUAUACAUUCAAAUAUGAUACUCGUAUUUAUAUUACAUCGCUUAAAAUUUACGAUUAUCAAUUUUAUUUUGUUUACAAUCUAAUAAACUCAAUAAAACUACAAGAGAGCGUGAAAUUCAAACCUUUAAAGAUAAACAUUUAGCCACAUUAACAUUCACAACUCUCUUGUAAGAUGUAAAUCCAGCGAGCGAGUUAAAUCAUUAACAUUGACACCUCUAUUUCUUAUAAGAUGAAGAAACGUAUGUUUCAAGAAACCAGCAAUGCUUCGUUAACAAGGCAAAAACAUAAGCAACCUGCUUGGCCUCGUAACCCAAAAACCACGAGCCUUGUCGGGACGAGUAGGUCAUGACGAGAUUGACAACCGAAGGUUGCUGUCUGUACUCUCGGCAAGCACCUCACCCUCUUCACAAAACCUCAUAACAUCGGCUGCUUCUUUCUCCACAUACUUGUUCUGCACACCAACAAUGAGAUACUUGCCUUAGGGAAUCUUAGAGAGAUGGAGAGUGAGAAUUACACAAAUGAUUGAAUCUAGAAAGCUAAACUACUUACUCUGUUUCUUCAAAACAGAGAGAUGAACACGUCCAAUCACCUGAUGCCAGCUGUCCUCUUUCUUCGAUUGUAACGACCUCUCCAACUAACUCUCAUCUCCACUUAUUCGCUGCCACCUGUCGUCUCUUGCUUAACUGUAUCAACAACAAAAGAGAUGUAGUGUUUGGUGUAUGUUCAAAUCCAACAUGCAUCCCAACAUUUUUUGUAGACACAAAAAAGUUAUUGUAUGUAUCCCCUAUAUAUUAUUUAAGAAGCAUUACAACAUUUUUUGUAGACAGAUGUCAUCAUUAGAAUGAUUAUUAGAAUCUUUAGAGAAAUAAGUUGGUCCCUCUAAAUAUAUAAUAAUAUUUUUAAUAAAUUAACCAUAAAUACAUUUUUAAUGUGCUUCAUUAUUUCCUUAAAUAAAAUUAUGGAAUUUCCUAAUGUGGCUAAAAUAUAUAUGACAAUUAAUGAUUU
Molecule: long non-coding RNA, 2422 nt
Organism: Brassica rapa (field mustard)
Lineage: Eukaryota; Viridiplantae; Streptophyta; Magnoliopsida; Brassicales; Brassicaceae
Source: RefSeq, a predicted model, not a curated record